UCCUUUCUAAGGAUAUCGGCAGAAAGCGCUGACAGGCCCGCAUCUUAUGGUGCCACCCUGUCGGAAGAGCUUCUUCCAUUCCAAAGAACAUUAGCCGCCGUCCUCAUGUCCCUUCAUCACUAGGUUAGUCCAUAAGACGAGACAGCAUCCGCUGUUUUGGUUAUGGGCAAGCUCGGCCAGCGCGCGAAGCGCGCCCCUGGGUCCCAUCAAAGUACUACUUUGAUGGGGGCCCUAUUAGGCGCAGUUCAGCUGCGUCUGACGGGCGCAGCGGGUGUGGGCCUGUAGCUCAGUUGGUUAGAGCGCACCCCUGAUAAGGGUGAGGUCGGUGGUUCGAAUCCACCUAGGCCCACCACACACAAGUGCGUUUGGGGCCUUAGCUCAGCUGGGAGAGCGGUUGCUUUGCAAGCAUCAGGUCAUCGGUUCGAUCCCGAUAGGCUCCACCAUUUCGCAGGAGACGAGACGAGGCAGCAAAGCUGCCGCGCACGUCCCCAAGAACGGCCAGCGCUGCAAAGCGCGCCCGAGGGUCCCAUCAAAGUAUUACUUUGAUGGGUGCCCCACAGGGCGCAGCUUAGCUGCGACUGACGGGCUCGCGGAAUGCGCACCAUCAGCACAACCUAGAGAUGAAGAGAAACGGUUCGCCGCACGAGAGUGCGGUGAUUGACGGGCACGCCCGUCGUAUUUGACAUUGUGAAUGGGUUUUUUAAAAUCGAUGCCGUGAGGUGCUCGAUUUUGGGGACGAGGAUUGCUUCGGCGGUUCGUGAGCGCUUCGGCGUCAGCGAGCUAAGCGAGCGGUUCGAGGCUCCAGAUAUCGACAUCAUCAUACUAAUAAUCUGGCUGAGAUUAUAAUCAUCCGCACCUGACAAAGGCCAACGCGCACUGCUCUGCCGAGUUGGUGACCUCCUCUGGAGGCACCCAGUGAUGUCGUUGGUGGUGUGGACUCUCAAGCGUGAGGUAAGGGCAAUUCGUGGAUGCCUUGGCACAUACAGGCGAUGAAGGACGUGGCACGCUGCGAUAAGCGUUC
Molecule: transfer RNA, 1021 nt
Filed under: Sphingomonas sp.
Lineage: Bacteria; Pseudomonadati; Pseudomonadota; Alphaproteobacteria; Sphingomonadales; Sphingomonadaceae
Description: partial contains 16S ribosomal RNA, 16S-23S ribosomal RNA intergenic spacer, and 23S ribosomal RNA
Rfam family: tRNA (bases 276-349)
Source: RNAcentral